Heteronotia binoei (common prickly gecko) is the source of this 4302-nucleotide RNA transcript. It is a transcript of the gene named cyclin and CBS domain divalent metal cation transport mediator 3, with no coding region annotated. The transcript has 9 exons. The record is from RefSeq and is a predicted model, not a curated record. Lineage: Eukaryota; Metazoa; Chordata; Lepidosauria; Squamata; Gekkonidae.
UCUAGCUACUGCUGGCUCUGGCAAUGGUGGGCAAUUGCAGUUUGCUGGUGUUGCUACUAGGUUGGGCUGCUGCGUUGUGGUUGGGUUGUGUAGUAGUGCAAGGGAAGGAUUCAGCUGACAAGGCCUCUCAGCACUCCAAACCUCCCCAGGAGACCUGGGCUCUCCAGACCUCAGAGGCCAAGACCCCCCAGGAGCCUGGGUCCCCCCACCCAAAGGUGCUCGGUUUCUGCCUGGAAGAGGGAGCCUUGGCCAGUGGUAGCCUCAUCAAGGCUACCCCAGGGGCCACCUUUCGCCUGCGCCUUUAUGGUACUGGCCUCAGCAACCACAGCUGGCCUUGGGUGGCCUUUGUGCCGCUGGGAAGCUCCUGUGCAGUUCCUGAAGGGGGUUCUUCCUCCACACCCUCCCCUACUGGUGCCCCUGAAUUGCUUUUGCACGAUAUCCUGCCUGUUGGGGAAUAUGCAGUGCUGGUGACAGUGAAGGUGGCCUCUGUGGGCACCCAAGGCCAGUAUCAUCUUUGUAGCCUGGCAGGGCCUGGGAACCAGUGGGCUGCAGCUGCUCCUGGGGAUUCUAUUUUGGUGACAGAAGAUGAAGGUGGGGGUGGGAGGGUGGCAGCUGUGGCUUUGUCCCCUCCUUUGGCACCCUGGCUUCUGGGCACCCUCGUGGCCUUACUGCUCGCUUUCUUAGCCUUGCUCCGGGUUUUGCAGCUCAGCACUUUGUGGCUGGAUCCAGUGGAACUGUACGUGCUGCGGGACUGUGGUAUGGAAUCUGAGCGAGAGGCUUCCAAAGUUCUGGAGACUGUAAGACAACGUGGGACGUUUGUCCUUUGCUCUUUGCUACUCCUGAGUUCCUUGGCCAAUGCUGCCUUGGCAGUGCUUUUCUAUAGAGCGGUGGGAAUGUUGGUGCCUGCUAUCCUAGGUGUGGCCGCUUUGGUCUUUCUUUUAGCUGAGGUGCUGCCUUUCACCAUCAGUUCACGGUGGGGACUUUUGUUGGCCCCCCGUGGGCUCUGGCUCACCCAGCUCUUCAUGCUUCUAACCUUCCCUAUCUCGCUACCGCUCAGCAAGGUGCUGGAACUCGCAUUGCACCACGACACAAGUACAUGCCUCCUGCGGGAGAAGAUCCUGGACAUGGUGCGCAACAGUGACCCCUACAAUGAGUUUGUACGGGAGGAGUUCAGCAAAGGUGCCCUGCGCAACAAGACAGUUGAGGAUGUGCUGACACCGCUGGAUGAGUGUUUCAUGCUGAAUGCAAAUGCUGUGCUGGACUUCAGCAACAUGUCAAUGAUCAUGCAGAGCGGCUACACUCGCAUCCCUGUCUAUGAAGAUGAGCGCACCAACUUGGUGGACAUGCUUUACGUCAAGGAUUUGGCCAUGGUAGACCCUGACGACUGCACACCUCUCAGUACCAUCAUCAAGUUCUACAACCACCCGCUUCACUUUGUCUUCAAUGACACUAAGCUGGAUGCUGUGUUGGAGGAGUUCAAGCGAGGUAAAUCACAUAUGGCCAUUGUUCAGAAGGUAAACAAUGAAGGUGAAGGAGACCCCUUCUAUGAAGUCAUGGGCUUGGUGACAUUGGAAGAUGUCAUUGAGGAAAUCAUAAAAUCGGAGAUCAUGGAUGAGUCAGAUGACUACAGGGAGAACAAAAUGAAGAAGAAGCCUCCCCCUCUUGGGACCUUGGUGGAUCGCAGGAAAGAAGAUUUUUCCUUGUUCAAAGUGUCUGACAAUGAGUACAAGGUGAAAAUCUCCCCACAGCUACUGCUGGCUACACAGCGCUUCUUAUCUAGAGAGGUAGACCUCUUCAGUCCAGCCCGAAUCUCUGAGAAGGUCCUCUUGCACCUGCUGAAACACCCAAGUGUCAACCAAGACGUGAAAUUUGAUGAAAGCAACCGCCUGGCCCCUGAGCACUACCUGUACCAGCGCAACCAACCAGUCAAUUAUUUCAUCCUUAUCUUGCAGGGCAGGGUCGAAGUCGAGAUUGGAAAGGAGGGACUGAAGUUUGAAAAUGGAGCCUUCACGUAUUAUGGUGUCUCUGCACUGACAGCUCCAUCCUCAGUUCACCAGUCCCCAGUGUCUACCCUCAGGAUGAACCGUCGUGAUCAGCAACUGGAUGUUGGGGAGAGCAGUAACUACUCCAUGUACUGUCCUGACUACACUGUCAGAGCUCUCACUGACCUACAGUUCAUCAAGGUCACUCGGCUACAGUAUCUCAAUGCCCUCAUGGCCUCCCGGAUACAAAACUCACCCCAAUCACCUGAUGCCGUUGAACUGAAAAUCGUUCCCAGCAGCCAGACAAAGCUUCUGAAUGACAAAAAUGCUGCAGCAGCCUUCCCGCUAAACCUCUCUUUCUUUGGCACGAUUGAGAACUGCAUUUAAUACUGGCCCUCUCUGCCAGAGUCUGGAGUGGGUUUUUAUUUUCAAAAUCACAAGGCAAAAGCAGAAGCAAACUAAACCUUCUGGAUGAGGAGAGCCUCAGCCGGAGCACUGGGGUCUGACCUCCCGGUGGCUGCUGUCGAUCUGCAGGGGGAUGGGCUUGGGUGGAUCUCCUGGCUUGCACCCCUUCGUCCCACGAACAUCUCGGCUGGUGCCUGCAUCCUCGACUCUGGGGAAACUGGACGUCUUUUGCAGCCAAGUGGGCUGCGAGCCCCUUUGGGUGGCGGCUUCUGGUGCUUUGACCUGGCUGCGCACAGGAUUUCCCGCCCCUCCUUUUUUUUUAACAGAACUUGACUGGUGGUUGAGCUCAGCAGGGUCUCCAUUGACAGCAGCAACAGCCAGCCUGUGCCUAUAGACUCAGCUGCUUCUCCAGGAGCCUGUACGAGUUGGGAGGGGGUGUGGCGGCUAAGAAUCCCUACCAGGAAUAUAUCCCUGCCAGUAUUGAUGCCCCUUCCCUUGCAACAAAUCUCUCCCAUGGCCUCAUGCACGUGCCCCCCACUUUGUCGCACACAGUGGCAAGUUGCACUGGCAGCCUGGAGCAGGGGAGGGGGCAGUUUUGGAGUCCCUCCACAUCCCAUCUUGGCUCUGCAGCUGCUGUCUGGGAGGCAGCUUGUGCUGAACUCAUGCUGGGCCCUCCUUAGGCAUGGCUGAUGAGAGCCCCAAGUUUGUCCUGUGUCUGCUGUGAGAACAUGCAUUACAUGGAGCUGGUGUCCAGCUGCUCUGCCAAGUUGGCAUUAUCCAUGGUUGGAUGUUUCUUUAGGGACCUACUUCUCCUACCUUCCUGGGCCAUUGAUGUCACCUGCAUUGCUGGUCUUCUGUGUGCCAGGUCUCCCCACGUCUGGCCAUCCUUGCUCCGGGCCAGAUAUGGCAUCACCCAAUCUUGUUUCCCACUCCCACUUUGUCCAAAUUGUGCCAAAGUCCACAAUCUCUGCAGCCACACUGCAAUCCUGAAAUUCAGCUUGCCAACUGUGCCUCCACCCUUUCCCAGGUCCCUGAUUCCCAAGGGCUGCCUGUGCCAACUAGGGGAGUGCUGCCUUUCUGCAAAGGAACCCCUGCUUCCCAGGGAUGGACUCUCUCACUCUCUCUUCCCCUCCUCUCCCCAUCCCUCCCCUCCCUCCCUUUCCCCUGUAACACAACCUAGGCUUUAACUGUGCCCUGGGCACCAGCAACGACAGCAAAGGCAAACUGUGACUGCUUCACAGUGGACUUUAUCAAAUUUUGAGGUGCAGCCCCCCACAAACCCCCUCCUGCCUUUCCAUGCAAACUAUUUGGGGGUGCUGUCCUGAUUUAGGCAUCCAGUGCACUGGCCCUCUUGUCUCAACCCCUGCUUGCCAAAGCAUGAUGAAGUUCUGCAGCAUUUUGUGGACAUUUGCCCAAGAAGGCCCACUGAGGAAGUCUUAACCGGGUACUGCAUCUCCUAUGGCUGCUCCUGAUUCCUUCCUGUCUGUGUGCUUAGAAGAGCAGCUGCUGUUUGGUUUUCUUUGGACUCAUCCUCUGCCUCAGUCAUCAGGUUCAGGCCCAAGAGGCAUUCUUAGAUGACUUGGUUUGCCCUUGUCCGUAGGGAGGCCUCCACUCCAGCAUUGGCAGAGAGACUGGCUUUUUUUUCCUAGUUGCUACUAACAGUAUUUUUCCCAGAGUUCCUAUUUUUUAAAGGAAAUAACAAGACAAGAGGAGCAAGGGAGAGGAGGAGGGCGGGAUUCCUCACUCUUCUUUUCUCUCUCUUCCACAAUGACAGUUGACCUCUAAAAGCAAUGUAUAAUUUCAGGUAAAUUAUUGGGUACCUGCCUUUAUGUUGUAGUUUUUUCCCCAUAAGGACUGUACCUUCAAAUGGAAUAGUCUAAUCUUUAAACGUGUCUAUUUAAAAGUCAUUGGUCUG